UGGCCCAGUCCACCCGAUUCCCCUCCAAUUCACCCCAACCCACGUGGCUCAGAAGGCACGCCUAGGCCCUCGUGGAACUGGAUCCACGCCGAAGACCGUAGCCUCCUCCUUGCGCGGCCGCCUCCUCGAUGCGCCGGCGCCGGCCACAGCCCCCUCCUUGCGCUGCCGCCCGUAGCCUCCUCGCAACGCCAUCUGCAGCCUCCUCGCGAUGCCGUAUGCAGCCUCCUCGACGUGUCGCCACCGGCCACAGCCUCUUGAUGCGUAGCCGCCGCCUGAAAAGCUGGAUUUCACCCCGGCAGGUUAAGAAGUGGAACGAGCAGAGGGAAAAUGGGAGAUUUGCAGGGCCCUUCUAAAUCAUCCGUUUGAGAUUCUCCUCAGUUGCUUUUGUGUCAGCGCUAUUGCUGUCUUAUGUUCAAAUUUGUGCUCCUGUAAUGUACUCUUUUCCAGCAAUCAUUGCAGAACAUAUGUGAUGUUUUUCUGUUGCACAUAUAACUCAGCAUGCUUAUGUAUUUUGUUAUCCAGUAUACUUAAAUGUAUGCUUUCCGGGGACUUGCGAAUGCACAAUUAUGUUGUUGUGAUGUGACUGCACAAUCAUGUGAUGAUAUAUUGAUUCCAAGUCAAGGAAAUUAUGUUGUU
Long non-coding RNA from Triticum dicoccoides, 636 nucleotides. RefSeq lists it as uncharacterized. The record is from RefSeq and is a predicted model, not a curated record. Lineage: Eukaryota; Viridiplantae; Streptophyta; Magnoliopsida; Poales; Poaceae. The transcript is spliced from 2 exons.